This 1869-nucleotide long non-coding RNA is filed under the name Citrus maxima (pomelo). RNAcentral describes it as "long non-coding RNA (CMAX_LNC002802)". The record is from RNAcentral. Lineage: Eukaryota; Viridiplantae; Streptophyta; Magnoliopsida; Sapindales; Rutaceae.
UCACGGUAAGAUUUUGAGUAAUUGCUGAGAAUGAGCACCACUGGAUUCCCAAGCCCUCAUAGAAUCUGACAAGCCUGCCACUCUCUGCAGUAAGUUCUUGGUAGCUCACAUUACUUUAGAUCACAAUCUUUGUUAGAGGUCGAUUAUAGAUAUAUGCUGAUGAUGUCUAGCUUUUGCCGAAUCCCUGUGACUUCCAAGAAGAGAAAUACCACUGAAUGAAUUAAUCAAAGACCGUGUAAAAAUUAACCAAGAUUGUAUUCAUAUUUUCCACCAUUUCCGGUUUUCCAUUGUUUUUACAAGCUCAUUUGCUAAUGAUGCAAAAUCUUCGGCCCCACUUUGCAGCUCUUCAGUGCGUCGGCUGAUUCUCUGUCAAAAGUAAGGGGGUAAAUAGCUCGUAUUCAGAAAGCCCAUCAAGUUGUGGAAUAAUAAGAUGAAAGUUCACAAGAUUUUCAUGACCUGACCAUGAUUUAGUGUAAUAUUUAAGUUGUGGGGUAAUUUUUUCCUUUUUUUCUGUGGUAUUAUGAAUGAAACAAGUCUGUUUCAAAAUAUAAUCAAUGGAGUUUCAUCAGAUGUCUCUGAUGUUUCCUCCCUAACACAGCAUCUCUAUCAAGCACCUUAUUUUAUUUUUUAUUUUUGGCUCUGUCAUCCUCAAUAGAAAACAAGAGAAGAAGCAGCGUAAUAGUUCAAAGCAGUUUUAUCCGCUUCAAAUAUGAAUGGAUUAGAGAUAGAAAUCUGACCUCCAGUUUGUCCUGCCUCUCUAAAAGUUUGUCUCUCGCAUGUGCAGCCACAGAUGAGGCAUCCUGAAAUCAGUUACCAGAUCAGAUGACAAUUUAUUUCAAGGCUUGCUUCUCAUAUCAGAAGAUCCGGUAAACUAAAACCAUCGUUAGAAAUACCUCUGCUUUUCUAUAUUUAGCGAUAAUCUCUUCUCGUGUCCUAAGUCUGGGCUUUGCCUCAUCAGGUGCACCUAAUAAUCUUUCCCUCUCUGACAGUUUUUCUGCGAUGAAUAAAGAAUAUUGUUGAUAUAUGAAGAUCCAAGCACGCAUAUCAAGGACAUGAAAGUCAGAUUUACCUUUCUUCGUAUUUGUAACUUCAUGAGAUGAAGUGGCCAUCAUGGAUGGUGGUUCAUCUAUUUCAAUGUCAUCUGCGCCAAACAGUGCAUGCAGUGGUGAGUGAAGAAUCAACAAAAAGAAACAUUACAGUGACGGAUAGGACAGAACCUAUAUUUAGCUCGAUUUCCUCAUUAUUUGUAGCGGCUGGAGAUAAGUCUGGGAAUGGGGGCCUCGAAAAUAUUCCCUCUAACUGAGAAAAGCUGGAUUUUGGGUCUAUACUGACAUCCAAAGUAUGGAACAUUUUUUCCCCUUUAAAGCCUUUCACGAUGCCACCAAGAAUCCCAGCUGCAGUGGUCUGCAGCAAAAGUGGUGGAUGCAUAAGAAAACUAUACAAUUCUUAACAAAUAUAGAAAUAGAAGAAAAUGGAUAUAACUCCUUGAACCUGUUUUUUCUUCUGAUUUGAAGAGACAUUAAAGGCAGCAGCUGCAGCAGCUUCAAGAACUUUAUCAUGAAGACAAGGCGAAGACUCCAGAAUACUAGAAAGAGCACCAUGGUUCUUUUAGAAAUUCAUUUGUAAGUAAUAAUUGAAAUUUGUGCUAAUUUUUAUAUUUUCAUCACAGCUUUGACUAAACAGGAGUGUACCUGAAUUCAUUUUCACCAGCUAACAGAUUGACGAAAGCCACUUCACUCCCAUUUGCCUGUUUAUUCAGCGACAGAAAAAUAUUGUUAAAUGAAUCAUCAAUAGCACAGAAAAUGUGCAGAUCACAAGGGUUGUGACAAUCAACUAUCCUCAAUUUCAGAAGCAUGUGAUUGAAGUAUA